Molecule: ribosomal RNA, 253 nt
Filed under: uncultured bacterium
Lineage: Bacteria
Description: partial 16S ribosomal RNA
Rfam family: Bacterial small subunit ribosomal RNA
Source: RNAcentral
UACGUAGGGUGCGAGCGUUAAUCGGAAUUACUGGGCGUAAAGCGUGCGCAGGCGGCCUUGCAAGACAGAUGUGAAAUCCCCGGGCUCAACCUGGGAACGGCAUUUGUGACUGUAAGGCUAGAGUACGGCAGAGGGGGAUGGAAUUCCGCGUGUAGCAGUGAAAUGCGUAGAUAUGCGGAGGAACACCAAUGGCGAAGGCAAUCCCCUGGGCCUGUACUGACGCUCAUGCACGAAAGCGUGGGGAGCAAACAGG